GUUGAGUCUCAAUUAAGAUAUUAGAAUUAAUGUUUUGAAAUAAUUUGAAAUUUGAAAAUUUUGAAUUCAUAAAUAUUUUAAGAAUUAUGAUUUUGAUUGAGUAUGAAACUUAGGUAGUUAAAAUAAUUGCUAUGAAAUUUAAUAUGAAAAUGUGGGUUUGAAAUAUGGAUGAGAUAAAGAGAGAAUUUAUUCAUUUUGAAAUGGAUGUGAAAGGGAUAAUGAUAUUUUAUUUAUGUAAUUCAUCUAAUGUUGAAAUGUAUUUCUUGAAUCUGUGUUUAAAUAAGGGAACUGUUCUACUUAUGAGGGAGAUGUUGAAUUUUCGGUAGGAAUUAUAAGGGAAAUGUUCUACUUAUGAGGGAGAUGUUGAAUUUUCGGUAGGAAUUAUAAGGGAAA
RNAcentral lists this unclassified non-coding RNA (393 nucleotides) under Hevea brasiliensis (rubber tree). Lineage: Eukaryota; Viridiplantae; Streptophyta; Magnoliopsida; Malpighiales; Euphorbiaceae. The record is from RNAcentral.